Hyla sarda is the source of this 417-nucleotide long non-coding RNA. RefSeq lists it as uncharacterized. NCBI's taxonomy places the organism in Eukaryota, Metazoa, Chordata, Amphibia, Anura, Hylidae. The record is from RefSeq and is a predicted model, not a curated record. The transcript has 3 exons.
CCCUCUGACAUGUGGUUUACUUCCCUUCCCUUCCUUUGGAGUUCGCGGUCUUCAUGGCGUGACGCGAGACUGCAAGCCCCUGAAGUGCUGAGGGCAGAAACAUCUCCUUACUCCGCCUCCCAUUCAUGUCCUGCUUGAGUGACAGUCAGUUGGAAGCCGAGCCCUGUUUCAAGCUGUGGUCCCUGUGCUGGAUCAUAGUCCCUGCAGGAUUUUUUUUCUGCCUUUUCAAGGGCUAAUAAAACAGGAUGGGUGAAACAAAGUCAUAAGCCGACUCUGUCUGAAAUCCAUGUCAUCUCAUCUAAAAAGAAGAAAGAGACCAUUUCCAUGUCUGGCCUGACAGUAACGCCUGAACUGGCAAGAGUGCAAUUCCAUUUGAUUUAUAGAAUAACUGUGUGACAAAUGAUGACAAAAAUAAAC